Chiroxiphia lanceolata (lance-tailed manakin) is the source of this 463-nucleotide long non-coding RNA. RefSeq lists it as uncharacterized. The transcript is spliced from 3 exons. The record is from RefSeq and is a predicted model, not a curated record. Lineage: Eukaryota; Metazoa; Chordata; Aves; Passeriformes; Pipridae.
GCCUGAGGGCAAAAGGGGAUAGGGACGCGGCACCACACAAAAAGGUUCAGACUCAGUUGAAAGUCUGGGUGCAAUGCCAAUUUAUUAAGAGACAACAGGGACUUAUAUAGGGUAAGGCUGAGGGGAGGAUUCAUAACUGGGGCGGAGCAUGAGAUUGACAACUAGGGGUGAGACAGGAUUGGGAGACAGGGGAAAGGUGGGUGUAACUUAUGGGUAUCCAGGGGAAAGGACCAAUGGGAGCUCACUCUGCACUGCAGCAAACCUCAGCCAAUCAGUGACAGAGGAGCGGGAAAGCCGGGGAGAACAGGGGAGUAAACAACUUUUGGCGGGAAAAUCUGAGGGACCAAGGGGAAUAACAUUAGGGUACAUUAAACUGGGUAUGAAACUGGUAUUAAAAUGGGGGAUAACAGGUCAGUCCAGUAGAAUAACAGUCCAUUCAGGCUCUGUAAAUGUCUCUAUAUGC